CAAAUUGUUACAAAGUUCAGUCAGAGAAUUCCUUCUUUCUGUGGAGUUUUACUCCCUGCUCCUCUGGCUAUCCUCCCGAUGGAUCCCUGUGGUGCCAGGCAGGAAUGGGCUGCUCAGGGACCCAGCAAGUUCCCAGGGCUUUUCUGCUGCUUCCUGUACCCCUGUAUUUUGCUCAGCUCUCUAACUUGACUCAGCUCCAGUUUCUCUAGGUUCAAAAGAAAGAGGAGUGAAGAGGAGUAAAACACACAUCUAUUAAAAAGCAAGAAGAUUAAAUAAAUUGAAGCUUUUUAUUUCUCUUUCUCUGCCUAAGGUGUGUCUGUGAGGGUGUUGCCAAAGGAGAUUAACAUUUGAGUCAGUGGACUGGGAGAGGCAGACCCAUCCUCAGUCUGCACCAUCUAAUCAGCUGCCAGCAUGGCUAGAAUAAAAGCAUGCAGAAGAAAGUGGAAGGGCUUGACAUGCUGAGUCUUCUGGCCUUCAUCUUUCUCCUGUACUGGAUGCUUCCUGCCCUUGAACGUCGAACUCCAAGUUCUUCAGCUUUUGGACACUUGGACUCACACCAGUGGUUUGCCAGGGGCUCUGAGGUCUUCAGCCACAGACUGAAGGCUGCACUGUCGGCUUCCAUACUUUUGAGGUUUUGGAACUCGGACUGGCUUCCUUGCUUCUCAGCUUGCAGAUGGCCUAUUGUGGGACUUCACCUUGUGAUCGUGUGAGUCAGUACUCCUUAAUAAACUCCCCUUCAUAUAUACGUCU
This 750-nucleotide long non-coding RNA is filed under the name Homo sapiens (human). The record is from RNAcentral. Lineage: Eukaryota; Metazoa; Chordata; Mammalia; Primates; Hominidae.